This 815-nucleotide long non-coding RNA is filed under the name Phasianus colchicus (ring-necked pheasant). Its description in RNAcentral is "lncRNA (ENSPCLG00000003522.1)". Lineage: Eukaryota; Metazoa; Chordata; Aves; Galliformes; Phasianidae. The record is from RNAcentral.
AUGAGCAUAGCAAAGGGUUGGUUGGGUUGGGUGCAAAGCAGGCUCGUCUGUUGCAGCCAAAACAGUGCGGCAGCAAGUUGGCCAAAUCGAGUAUUAUCAGCUGGUAGUAAGAGUUUAAUUUUUUAUUCUUUCAUUCAUUGGCUAUACAACAACCCUUAUUCAGGAUCUGCGGAGGAGCCGGGAGGGCACCGGGGCGAGAGCUGGGCACCCCCGGAACCCCCCGCACACCUGCCCCGGAACCUGCGAGGAGAGCCCCAGCAUCCCGGCCUGGAGGGGAGCGGCAUCCCGCCGGCAUCACCGCUCCGGGGAGCAUCUCCCGCCGUGCCUGCGGGAGCGCGAGGGGAGUCUCCUCCUUCCCUCCCUGCCUCCCCCUCUGCUCUCUCCUCCCUCCCGCUGCCUGCAGCCGCAGCGCAGGGCAGGAGGGAGCGGCGGCGGCAGGCAGAGCCGCCCGGCCCGGCGGAGGCAGGAGGGCGGGCGGGCGGUGGCUGUUCCCCGGCCCCGCCGCCCCAGCCCCGGCCCGGCCGCGCCGCCGGCAGGCUCCGCCCGGCGCUCCCAUGGCGCGGCGGCUCCGCGCCAGGUGAGGCUGCGCUGCCUGUUGCGCCGAGCCGAGCCGAACCGCGCCGAGCUGAGUCGCGCCGCGAAGUUUUGCGGGAGGCGCCGCCGCUCUGCGAUGUGUGUUUUUAAGAAGAGUUUUGACCAUGAGAAAGUCCACAUGUUAGUCAAUUUUUACUAAUCCCACCGAAGAAAAUGAAGCCGCACUUCAGCUUUGCCGAUCCUUUUCCCACCACCGUUGGCUGAAUGAGAAAUGGUCGUGU